UGUGCAGCAGUCGCGAAUUUUUCACAAUGGGCGCAAGCCUGAUGGAGCGACGCCGCGUGGGGGAUGAAUGGCUUCGGCCCGUAAACCCCUGUCAUUCGCGAUCAAACCUCGCUAUUUAAAAGAUGGCGAGCUGAUAGUAGCGGAAGAGGAAGGGACGGCUAACUCUGUGCCAGCAGCCGCGGUAAUACAGAGGUCCCGAGCGUUGUUCGGAUUCACUGGGCGUAAAGGGUGCGUAGGUGGUGAGGUAAGUCGGAUGUGAAAGCUCGGAGCUCAACUCCGAAAUGGCAUUGGAAACUACCUUGCUUGAGGGUUGGAGGGGGGACUGGAAUACUUGGUGUAGCAGUGAAAUGCGUAGAUAUCAAGUGGAACACCAGUGGCGAAGGCGAGUCCCUGGACAACACCUGACACUGAGGCACGAAAGCUAGGGGAGCAAACAGGAUUAGAUACCCUGGUAGC
Molecule: ribosomal RNA, 456 nt
Filed under: uncultured bacterium
Lineage: Bacteria
Description: bacterial SSU rRNA
Rfam family: Bacterial small subunit ribosomal RNA
Source: RNAcentral